CAUCUAUCAAGAGUGGUGGAGGGACUGGCCCUAUGAAACCCGGCAACCGGCAUUUUUUAUGAGCACGGUGCUAAAUCCUGCAGAAUUUAUUCUGGGAGAUAGUUA
RNAcentral lists this non-coding RNA (105 nucleotides) under Geosporobacter subterraneus. RNAcentral's name for it is "SAM-I sequence". It matches the Rfam family "SAM riboswitch aptamer (S box leader)". From Rfam's summary of the family: The SAM riboswitch is found upstream of a number of genes which code for proteins involved in methionine or cysteine biosynthesis in Gram-positive bacteria. The SAM riboswitch acts at the level of transcription termination control. The record is from RNAcentral. Lineage: Bacteria; Bacillati; Bacillota; Clostridia; Peptostreptococcales; Thermotaleaceae.